This 450-nucleotide ribosomal RNA is filed under the name Cryptosporidium canis. RNAcentral describes it as "SSU rRNA". It matches the Rfam family "Eukaryotic small subunit ribosomal RNA", at positions 467 to 950 of the family's 1831-position model. Lineage: Eukaryota; Apicomplexa; Conoidasida; Eucoccidiorida; Cryptosporidiidae. The record is from RNAcentral.
GUGACAAGAAAUAACAAUACAGGACUUUAACAGUUUUGUAAUUGGAAUGAGUUGAGUAUAAACCCCUUUACAAGUAUCAAUUGGAGGGCAAGUCUGGUGCCAGCAGCCGCGGUAAUUCCAGCUCCAAUAGCGUAUAUUAAAGUUGUUGCAGUUAAAAAGCUCGUAGUUGGAUUUCUGUUAAUAAUUUAUAUAUAAUAUUUAACAUAUUUAUAUAAUAUUAACAUAAUUCAUAUUACUAUUUAUAGUAUAUGAAAUUUUACUUUGAGAAAAUUAGAGUGCUUAAAGCAGGCUUUUGCCUUGAAUACUAGAGCAUGGAAUAAUAUUAAAGAUUUUUAUCUUUCUUAUUGGUUCUAAGAUAGAAAUAAUGAUUAAUAGGGACAGUUGGGGGCAUUUGUAUUUAACAGUUAGAGGUGAAAUUCUUAGAUUUGUUAAAGACAAACUAAUGCGAAA